RNA transcript from Amaranthus tricolor (Joseph's coat), 1771 nucleotides. It is a transcript of the gene named peptidyl-prolyl cis-trans isomerase CYP40-like, with no coding region annotated. The record is from RefSeq and is a predicted model, not a curated record. NCBI's taxonomy places the organism in Eukaryota, Viridiplantae, Streptophyta, Magnoliopsida, Caryophyllales, Amaranthaceae. The transcript has 10 exons.
AAACAUUUGGUGGGACCAAGGGGGCAAUGAAUAUUCUCCAUUUUAGGAUUGUUAUAAUUUUAACUGUGUUCCUUAAAGUAAGUUACAGUUGAGACCUGAAAAGAGAGACAAAAAUGGCGAGAACGAGAUGUUACCUUGAUAUCACCAUUGGUGAUGAACUUGAAGGUCGUAUUGUUGUGGAACUUUACAACGACGUCGUUCCAAAAACUGCAGAAAAUUUCCGAGCUCUUUGUACCGGUGAAAAAGGUGUCGGUCCUCAUACUGGUGUUCCCCUUCAUUACAAGGGAUGUUCGUUUCAUCGUAUCGUCAAGAGCUUUAUGAUUCAAGGCGGAGACAUAUCUGCUGGAGAUGGCACCGGAGGAGAGUCAAUAUAUGGAUUGAAAUUCAAGGAUGAAAACUUUGAGUUGAAACACGAAAGGAAGGGAAUGUUAUCGAUGGCUAAUAGCGGGCCUGAUACCAAUGGUUCUCAGUUUUUCAUAACAACAACUCGGACUUCUCAUUUAGACGGAAAACAUGUUGUGUUUGGUCGAGUGAUCAAAGGUAUGGGAGUUGUUCGCACGAUUGAGCAUGUCAACACAGAGGAUAAUGAACGUCCCACCCAGGAUGUUAUUAUUUCCGAUUGUGGUGAAAUCCCUGAGGGGGCUGAUGAUGGCAUUGCGGAUUUGUUUAAGGAUGGCGAUACAUAUCCUGAUUGGCCAGCUGACCUUGAUCAAUGUCCUAAUGAACUCUCUUGGUGGACGGAAGCUGUUGAUUCUGUUAAGGCGCUUGGAAAUGAACACUUCAAGAAACAAGAUUAUAAAAUGGCUCUAAGGAAGUAUAGAAAAGCAUUACGGUAUUUAGAUGAAUGCUGGGAGAAAGACGGGGUUGAUGAAGAGAAAAGUUCCGCCUUGCGAAAGAUCAAGUCGCAAGUGUUCACAAACAGUUCUGCUUGUAAGUUGAAGUUGGGAGAUUUAAAGGGUGCUUUGUUGGACACGGAGUUCGCUAUGCGUGAUGGUGAGGAUAACGUCAAGGCCUUGUUUCGCCAAGGACAGGCACAUAUGGCUCUUAAUGACAUAGAUGCUGCAGUUACUAGUUUCAGAAAGGCAUUAGAUUUGGAGCCUAAUGAUGCUGGAAUAAAGAGAGAGCUCGCAAUUGCAAAGAAGAAGAUUGCUGAUAGACGUGACCAAGAGCGAAAAGCCUACUCUAAGAUGUUCCUAUAGUUCUCCUGUUUUCGUUCAUGUUGUCAAUGGAUUCAGGCGAUAUGCUUUACAGGCAUUGCUCUACCACAAACGAGGCGACUAUAGCUAAUAAUGGAACCAUCGGGGUGACGCCUGCAAAGUAAAGCCUGAGCCAAGAUUAUUGGAGAAGUUUAGGAAUUAUGACCUUAUCAUUCACUUUUCAGCAAGGCCUUUGAGAGUUUUUCUGAAUUUUUCUCUUGUAAGAAAAACAAUUCUAUUAAAAAUGGAAUCUUUUGAUAUCCAUCUCUUUGAAUUCUAAUCAUAUAAUCUUACAUUUUUAAAAUAGUAUUUUAAAACUCAAUUUAUUUCCUUUUUCCCAUUCUUGUAAAUUGUACUAUUCACUUCUUUCGGUUCUCAGUUCUUUGGAGUUUGGCCCAUUAGCUUUUUUUUCUAAUCUUUAUUGGUACUCCCUCUAUUACUUGGAUUGCUUAACGUUUGUCCCAUCUAUAGUACACUUUCGUUUAGUUGGCAUUCACCCUUCUUACUUUUGCAACUCAUUUGGACCUAAGUAUUAACAUAUGGAAAUGUUUAUGAAAGUUGGCGUAAUUUUUGUA